RNAcentral lists this ribosomal RNA (368 nucleotides) under uncultured organism. Its description in RNAcentral is "bacterial LSU rRNA". It matches the Rfam family "Bacterial large subunit ribosomal RNA", at positions 2099 to 2465 of the family's 2925-position model. The record is from RNAcentral.
CUUUACUGUAACCUGGAAUUGGGUUCGGGCUUUGACUGCGCAGGAUAGGUGGGAGACUAUGAAGCAAUCCUUGUGGGGAUUGUGGAGUCAACAGUGAGAUACCACUCUGUCAGAGCUAGAAUUCUAACCUUCACCCGUUAUCCGGGGAAGGAACCGUAUCAGGCGGGCAGUUUGACUGGGGCGGUCGCCUCCUAAAUGGUAACGGAGGCGCGCAAAGGUGUUCUCAGGCUGGUUGGAAAUCAGCCGCAGAGUGUAAAGGCAGAAGAACGCUUGACUGUGAGAGUGACAACUCGAGCAGGGUGGAAACACGGCCUUAGUGAUCCGACCGCUUGUGCGUGGAAAUGCCGUCGCUCAACGGAUAAAAGUUA